RNAcentral lists this ribosomal RNA (243 nucleotides) under uncultured Streptococcus sp. Its description in RNAcentral is "partial 16S ribosomal RNA". It matches the Rfam family "Bacterial small subunit ribosomal RNA", at positions 1139 to 1382 of the family's 1533-position model. Lineage: Bacteria; Bacillati; Bacillota; Bacilli; Lactobacillales; Streptococcaceae. The record is from RNAcentral.
UCUAGCGAGACUGCCGGUAAUAACCGGAGGAAGGUGGGGAUGACGUCAAAUCAUCAUGCCCCUUAUGACCUGGGCUACACACGUGCUACAAUGGUUGGUACAACGAGUUGCGAGUCGGUGACGGCGAGCUAAUCUCUUAAAGCCAAUCUCAGUUCGGAUUGUAGGCUGCAACUCGCCUACAUGAAGUCGGAAUCGCUAGUAAUCGCGGAUCAGCACGCCGCGGUGAAUACGUUCCCGGGCCUU